RNAcentral lists this long non-coding RNA (202 nucleotides) under Populus trichocarpa (black cottonwood). RNAcentral describes it as "long non-coding RNA (PTRI_LNC002554)". Lineage: Eukaryota; Viridiplantae; Streptophyta; Magnoliopsida; Malpighiales; Salicaceae. The record is from RNAcentral.
AAUUUGAUGCUUUUUUAUAUGUUUUCUACUACUGUGCUUGUCUACCUGCUAAUUUAUUAGACAAAUCCUGACUGUGGCCUCGGCAGGAUUUUCUUGGCUGAUCAUAUGCAUCCCGUCUACUUGCCCUCUAUAACCUCUUGUUUUUCCCUAUUGAUGCCUUGGUUUAAUUUCUUUCAACACUUUGCAUAAAACAUCGUACAUU